Long non-coding RNA from Oncorhynchus masou masou (cherry salmon), 213 nucleotides. RefSeq lists it as uncharacterized. Lineage: Eukaryota; Metazoa; Chordata; Actinopteri; Salmoniformes; Salmonidae. The transcript is spliced from 3 exons. The record is from RefSeq and is a predicted model, not a curated record.
UACCAUGGUGGAACAUGUUGUCGUAGACGCAGCAGGAUUUUGAAGAAAGCACUUCUUCAGGAAAUCGGGAAGAAUAUCUACACGCUGAAGGAUGUAGUAGAGGAAAUUAGAGACAAGCCAACCCGGAGGAGCCUGUCGUUCCUACCAUAUCAACUCAACUUCAGAGAGCCGUACCCAGAGGACAUCAGAUUAGUGACUGAGUUCUCCAAGAAG